ACGUAAAAUGACGCAUCGCUUCAGCGGAAGGGAGUGCAAGUCUUCCGCCGCCCCGCGACUGUAAUCGGGACGAAAACCGCGGAAUGCCACUGGGAGGCACGAAGCUUGCCGGGAAGGCGCGGUGAGUAGGAUGAACGAGAGCCAGGAGACCUGAGCGAUGCAGGAAUUUCAC
RNAcentral lists this non-coding RNA (172 nucleotides) under Syntrophobacter fumaroxidans. Lineage: Bacteria; Pseudomonadati; Thermodesulfobacteriota; Syntrophobacteria; Syntrophobacterales; Syntrophobacteraceae. RNAcentral also lists the same sequence under 1 other name. The record is from RNAcentral.